GGGCAUAAGAACUGCAAGUCGAACGGACUUAAUUCAUUCUUUUAGAUUGGAAGCGGUUAGUGGCGGACUGGUGAGCAAUGCGUGAGCAACCUGCCUAUUAGAGGGGAAUAACAGUGAGAAAUCAUUGCUAAUACCGCAUAUGCUUACACUAUUGCAUGAUAGAGUAAGGAAAGGAGCAAUCCGCUAAUAGAUGGGCUCGCGUCUGAUUAGCUAGUUGGUGGGGUAGAAGCCUACCAAGGCGACGAUCAGUAGCCGGACUGAGAGGUUGAACGGCCACAUUGGGACUGAGAUACGGCCCAGACUCCUACGGGAGGCAGCAGUCGGGAAUAUUGCGCAAUGGAGGGAACUCUGACGCAGUGACGCCGCGUAUAGGAAGAAGGUUUUCGGAUUGUAAACUAUUGUCGUUAGGGAAGAAAAAAGACAGUACCUAAGGAGGAAGCCCCGGCUAACUAUGUGCCAGCAGCCGCGGUAAUACAUAGGGGGCAAGCGUUAUCCGGAAUUAUUGGGUGUAAAGGGUGCGUAGACGGGUGUUUAAGUUGGUUGUGAAAUCCCUCGGCUCAACUGAGGAACUGCAACCAAAACUGGAUAUCUUGAGUGUCGGAGAGGAAAGUGGAAUUCCUAGUGUAGCGGUGAAAUGCGUAGAUAUUAGGAGGAACACCAGUGGCGAAGGCGACUUUCUGGACGAUAACUGACGUUGAGGCACGAAAGUGUGGGGAGCAAACAGGAUUAGAUACCCUGGUAGUCCACACUGUAAACGAUGGAUACUAGGUGUAGGGUGUAUUAAACAUUCUGUGCCGCCGCAAACGCAUUAAGUAUCCCACCUGGGGAGUACGACCGCAAGGUUGAAACU
This 850-nucleotide ribosomal RNA is filed under the name uncultured bacterium. Its description in RNAcentral is "bacterial SSU rRNA". It matches the Rfam family "Bacterial small subunit ribosomal RNA", at positions 44 to 901 of the family's 1533-position model. The record is from RNAcentral.